GUAGGUGGCAAGCGUUGUCCGGAAUUAUUGGGCGUAAAGCGCGCGCAGGCGGUCCUUUAAGUCUGAUGUGAAAGCCCACGGCUCAACCGUGGAGGGUCAUUGGAAACUGGGGGACUUGAGUACAGAAGAGGAAAGCGGAAUUCCAAGUGUAGCGGUGAAAUGCGUAGAGACUUGGAGGAACACCAGUGGCGAAGGCGGCUUUCUGGUCUGUAACUGACGCUGAGGCGCGAAAGCGUGGGGAGCAAACAGGGAUUAGAUACCCUGGUAGUCCACGCCGUAAACGAUGAGUGCUAAGUGUUAGGGGGUUUCCCGCCCCCCUUAGUGCUGCAGCUAACGCAUUAAGCACUCCGCCUGGGGAGUACGGCCGCAAGGCUG
Molecule: ribosomal RNA, 375 nt
Filed under: uncultured organism
Description: partial 16S ribosomal RNA
Rfam family: Bacterial small subunit ribosomal RNA
Source: RNAcentral